This 757-nucleotide ribosomal RNA is filed under the name uncultured Glomeromycotina. RNAcentral's name for it is "SSU rRNA". It matches the Rfam family "Eukaryotic small subunit ribosomal RNA", at positions 342 to 1101 of the family's 1831-position model. Lineage: Eukaryota; Fungi; Glomeromycota. The record is from RNAcentral.
UACCAUGGUGGUAACGGGUAACGGGGUGUUAGGGCACGACACCGGAGAGGGAGCCUGAGAAACGGCUACCACAUCCAAGGAUGGCAGCAGGCGCGCAAAUUACCCAAUCCCGACACGGGGAGGUAGUGACAAUAAAUAACAAUACGGGGUUCUUUCGGAUCUCGUAAUUGGAAUGAGUACAAUUUAAAUCUCUUAACGAGGAACAAUUGGAGGGCAAGUCUGGUGCCAGCAGCCGCGGUAAUUCCAGCUCCAAUAGCGUAUAUUAAAGUUGUUGCAGUUAAAAAGCUCGUAGUUGAACUUCGGGAUCAAUUAGUUGGUCAUGCCUUGGUAUGUACUGAUUUUAUUGGUUCUCACCUUCUAAAGAACUAUAAUGUCAUCUAUUUGAUGUUAUAGGGAAUUAGGACUGUUACCUUGAAAAAAUUAGAGUGUUUAAAGCAGGCUCACGCUUGAAUACAUUAGCAUGGAAUAAUGAAAUAGGACAUCGCAUUCUAUUUUGUUGGUUUCUAGGAUCGAUGUAAUGAUUAAUAGGGAUAGUUGGGGGCAUUAGUAUUCAAUUGUCAGAGGUGAAAUUCUUGGAUUUAUUGAAGACUAACUACUGCGAAAGCAUUUGCCAAGGAUGUUUUCAUUAAUCAAGAACGAAAGUUAGGGGAUCGAAGACGAUCAGAUACCGUCGUAGUCUUAACCAUAAACUAUGCCGACUAGGGAUCGGAUGAUGUUGAUUUUUUAAUGACUCAUUCGGCACCUUACGGGAAACAAA